Molecule: long non-coding RNA, 1858 nt
Organism: Myotis myotis
Lineage: Eukaryota; Metazoa; Chordata; Mammalia; Chiroptera; Vespertilionidae
Exons: 2
Source: RefSeq, a predicted model, not a curated record
GGGAAGGAUGAAUGGAGGAGGCUAGCCAGCGCCAACAUUAAAGGAAUGUGACCUUUGUGCCAUAAAUUAGGGGCUUGGCAGAAAUGGCUUAUUACGCAGCUGGGGGUUUGAAGUGCAGAAUUUGCUGGGCCGGCAGAUUAAUCCCAUUUAUGCUGGGGAAAGUAUUCCAUGACAUUCAAGGAUUUAUUUGUUUGCUAAUCUGCUUCAGACUCUAGAGGCCUGGCUACGAAAGUAGGAAAGGGUCAGAAAGGAGAGGUUAGGAAAAGGAAGCAGAGUUUUCAUUCCUGGUUCUGCAGUAAGUUUUGAUAACCCAACACCCAACGAGGACUUCUAACACUACAUUCUGUAAACACACAGGCAAGCAUGCUUUACUGCUGCUAGUUCAAAGUUAGGGUGGUCAGCCCUUGUUUGAGAGAGAAACAAAUGGAAAAUGUAUUUAGGUUUCUAACAAGCUUUCCUCUUCAUCACUAGGUUUAUCGGGAGCAACCACCAAUGAUUAUUUUAAUUUAGUGCAGCCUUUUCCAAUUUGUAGAACCCCUGCCCCCUAAAUGCAAACAAACAUUUGCUUUCGGUUGCCUUUCCUCCUUUCAAAGCUCUUUUUCAGAGACUAGAACCUUCUCUUGGGUCAAGAGGUCCUUUUGUGUUGUUGCUCAACCGAGCGGACACAACCCUUGACUGAGAACAGAACCUCACCCUGUUGUCCAUUCCCCUGUAGCCGGAGCGUUUGUGUUAAGAGACAGUUAAGCUUUUUUCGGUGAGGCAUUUCCUUCCUUCCCUUCCUCACAGAAAGUUCUGCGUUAUUUUUAGCACCACCCUGGCUCCGGCAUUGCAUCUGUGCACAGGCUCCCUUCACCAUUACGCUAAGCGCACCUUCCCUCCUAGGAACUCCAGGCCUGACACACGUUAGUCAGUUCUCCCUGCACCCCCAUGAGAUGCUGAGCGCGCCAUUCCCAGGGGCAUGUGAUUACCCACAGUCUGUGAUUAGAUAACAUUCUUUGGCCGUCUUCUUCCUCAGUGUGCUCUCCACUGAGUUCACCUUUAGUUGAGUGGGGCUGGCCGGUUAAGUCCAGGGUCAAGGAAUGAACCAAAAGCGAAAGGCAAGAAAGAUGUGCACUGUGGUGACAGAAAGAGACCCCACAGGCCGGGACAGACAACCUCCGCCCAGACAGCUGGACCAGCGCCUGGGAUUCGGAGCUCCUGGGCUAGGCCAAGGUUGCUGGUCUACGAUGCGGAACCGUAACCCGCCCUACCAGGUGAAAAGUACCACUUACCCCAGAAGCCACUGGGAAACCCGUCCCGCUCCUUGGCUGGUGGAACUGGCCUUGGGCUACAGCCGCCCUGUGAGAUGUCUCCAGGUGCAACGGCUUACGCUUUUACCAGGCAUGCUGUUCCUAAACAGAAGCUGCGCGGAGGAAUACAGUGGUGAAGUUUUAAAGGCGAACCCUGGAGAGAAAGGGCCAGACUGACCUCUUGACUGAACCCAGAAAGCCUGUAGAAGCGGUCAGAAUGGCCAAUAUUGUCCUUCAACUCGCAGCCAACAGGCUCUUUUGCAUUUAUUCAAACUCCCCUCAAGUUUCUGAACAAUUCAGGUCAUAUGGAGGGGGCAAAGCACAGAAGGCCACGGAAAUGUCUUCUGUGGAAAUACGCAAAUAAAGGAGGAGGAUGUUGUUUUUAAAUAAAUCUGGCACAGAAGCCACAUGAUUUUCCUUCACUGACCAUGAAAAUUGGGGAUAAAAUUUGUGCGGGUUUUUGGCUUUUCUACACUAAAAUCGAGGAGGAGUUUUAAAAAUGAUAUGAAUUUGAAAUAAAAUGUAAGCAUUUGAUUGAUGAUGGAAUCUUUGUGCUCUGAUUUCCUGAU